RNAcentral lists this long non-coding RNA (1768 nucleotides) under Equus caballus (horse). Its description in RNAcentral is "lncRNA (ENSECAG00000054099.1)". The record is from RNAcentral. Lineage: Eukaryota; Metazoa; Chordata; Mammalia; Perissodactyla; Equidae.
AGAGGGUAGCUGCCUAGCUGAGCUGAAGCCACACACUCAUGCUGUGGCUGAACUGGAGGCAGAGAGACAGGUCUGGCCUCUCGAGCUCCCGUAUGAGAACAUCAGCUCCAAUACCCACCCACGUUGGGGAGGGCUAAUGCCCCAAAAGGAAAUUGGGAUACUGUUUAGGGAGAACGGAUGUGGGCAGCCCACAGGGAGCCUGACGGCAUAGAGCAGAUCCUGAUGACGUGGAUAAAUUGCCCCCAACAGAAAGAGACACAGCAGGGAGAAAAAGAUCCUUGUUGAUGUUUGACCUGCCUCUGAUCUUCCACAGAUUAGCUCUGAGCUGACAUCUGUGCCAAUUCUCCUCUAUUUUGUACGUGGGACGCCUGCACAGCAUGGCUGAUGAGUGGAGUAGGUCUGCACCCAGGAUCCGAACCAGCAAACUCAGGCUGCUGAAGUGGAGCACGUGGAACUUUAAGCACGCGGCCACAGGGCCGGCCCCUUCACUCUCAUCUUUAUCAUUUCCUUUCUUCUGAUUGCUUUGGGUUUAAUUCAUCCUUCUUUUUCUGGAAUUUUAAGCCAAAGGCUCAGAACAUUGAUAUGAGACAAACAGAUCAAUGAAAUAGAAAAGAGUCCAGAAAUAGACCUGCACAUAUAUGGACAACUGAGUUUUUAUAAAAGUUCAAAAAGAACUCAGUGGAAAAACGAUAGUCUUUUCAACAAAUGAUUCUAGAACAAUUGGAUAUCCAUAUGCCAAAGCAAUGAAUUUUGAUCCAUGUCUUACAAUAUAUACAAAAAUUAACUCAAACGUGUCAUAGACCUAAAUGUAAAACCUGAAACACCAAAAUUUCUAGAAGAAAACAUAGGAGAAAAUCUUUUCGACCUUGCCUUAGGCAAAGAUUCCUCAGCUACAUCAAAAGCAUAAUCCAUAAAAGAAGAAGUUGAUAAAUUGGGCUUCAGCAAAAUUAAGAACUUCUGUUCUUUGAAAGACCUUGUUAAGGGAAUGAAAAAGAGAAGCCAGAGACUGGGAGAAAAUAUUUGCAAAUCAUAUAUUUGAUAAAGGACCUGUAUUGGGAAUAGAUCCAGAACUUUCAAAACUCAGCAAUAAGAAAAAAAAUUUUUUUUCAAACAGGCAAAAUAUUUAACAGAUGCUUCACCAAAAAAGACAUGUGGAUGGCUAGUAAGCACAUAAAGAUGCUCAAUAUCAUUAGUCAUGAGGGAAAUGCAAAUUAGAACCACAAUGAGCUAUCACUACCUACCUAUCAGAAAGGGUAAACUUAAAAAGACUAACCAUACCAAGUGUUGGUGAGGUGCAGAGCGAACGAAACUCUCAUAUGCUGUUGGUGGGAAGGUACAAUGGUAAAAACACUUUGGAAAACAAUUUGACAGUUUCUUAAAAAGUUAAACAUGCACGUACCACAUGACCCAGCCGUUCCACUUCUACAUAUUUAUCCAAGAGAAAUGCAAGGAUAAGACCACGCAAAGACUUAUACAUGAAUAUACAUAGAGGCUUUGUUGAUAUUAGCCAAAAACUGGAGACAACACAAAUGUCCAUCAACUACUGAGUGGAUUAAAAAAAUCGGAAAUCUAUACAAUGCAAUACUACUCAGCAAUAAAAAGGAAUAAACUAUUGAUACGUGCAACAACAUGGAUGAAUCUCACAGCCACUACACUGAGUUAAAGAAGCCAGACAAAAAUAUUAUUGUAUGAUUCUAUUUAUAUAAAGUUCUAGAAAUUUGAAUUAAACUAUAGCAACGAAAAGAUUAGCAGUUGCCUAGGGGUGGGG